GAUGAACGCUGGCGGCGUGCCUAAUACAUGCAAGUCGAGCGAACAGACGAGGAGCUUGCUCCUCUGACGUUAGCGGCGGACGGGUGAGUAACACGUGGAUAACCUACCUAUAAGACUGGGAUAAUUUCGGGAAACCGGAGCUAAUACCGGAUAAUAUAUUGAACCGCAUGGUUCAAUAGUGAAAGACGGUUUUGCUGUCACUUAUAGAUGGAUCCGCGCCGCAUUAGCUAGUUGGUAAGGUAACGGCUUACCAAGGCGACGAUGCGUAGCCGACCUGAGAGGGUGAUCGGCCACCCUGGAACUGAGACACGGUCCAGACUCCUACGGGAGGCAGCAGUCGGGAAUCUUACGCAAUGGGCGAAAGCUUGACCGAGCAACACCGCGUGAGUGAUGACGGUCUUCGGAUCGUAAAACUAUGUUAUUAGGGGAAAACAAAUGUGUAAGUAACUGUGCACGUCUUGACGGUACCUAAUCAGAAAGCCACGGCUAACUACGUG
Molecule: ribosomal RNA, 497 nt
Filed under: uncultured bacterium
Lineage: Bacteria
Description: partial 16S ribosomal RNA
Rfam family: Bacterial small subunit ribosomal RNA
Source: RNAcentral